This 468-nucleotide ribosomal RNA is filed under the name uncultured bacterium. Its description in RNAcentral is "partial 16S ribosomal RNA". It matches the Rfam family "Bacterial small subunit ribosomal RNA", at positions 28 to 507 of the family's 1533-position model. The record is from RNAcentral.
GACGAACGCUGGCGGCGUGCCUAACACAUGCAAGUCGAACGGCAAGGCCCUGAUUUCGUGGGGUGCUGGAGUGGCGAACGGGUGAGUAACACGUGUGUAACCUGACCUUGUCUUUGGGAUAACUUAAGGAAAGUGGGGCUAAUACCGGAUAGGAGACGAUGUAGCAUGGAGGGGGUUGGAACGUCUCGGCGGUUGGGGAUGGAUGAGCGGAUUAUCGGCUUGUUGGUGGGGUAGUGGCUGACCAAGGCUUUGACGGGUAGGCGGCCUGAGAGGGUGACCGGCCACAUGGGGACUGAGAUACGGCCCAGACUCCAACGGGGGGCAGCAGUGGGGAGUAUUGCACAAUGGGCGCAAGCCUGAUGCAGCAACGCCGCGUGCGGGAAGACGGCCUUCUGGGAAUAAACCGCUUUCGCCUGUGACGAAGCGGGAGUGACGGUAAUGGGUAAAGAAGCACCGGCUAACUACGUG